ACAAUGAAGAGUUUGAUCCUGGCUCAGGAUGAACGCUAGCUACAGGCUUAACACAUGCAAGUCGAGGGGCAGCAUUUCAGUUUGCUUGCAAACUGGAGAUGGCGACCGGCGCACGGGUGAGUAACACGUAUCCAACCUGCCGAUAACUCGGGGAUAGCCUUUCGAAAGAAAGAUUAAUACCCGAUGGCAUAAUCAGACCGCAUGGUCUUGUUAUUAAAGAAUUUCGGUUAUCGAUGGGGAUGCGUUCCAUUAGGCAGUUGGUGAGGUAACGGCUCACCAAACCUUCGAUGGAUAGGGGUUCUGAGAGGAAGGUCCCCCACAUUGGAACUGAGACACGGUCCAAACUCCUACGGGAGGCAGCAGUGAGGAAUAUUGGUCAAUGGGCGCAGGCCUGAACCAGCCAAGUAGCGUGAAGGAUGACUGCCCUAUGGGUUGUAAACUUCUUUUAUAUGGGAAUAAAGUUUUCCACGUGUGGAAUUUUGUAUGUACCAUAUGAAUAAGGAUCGGCUAACUCCGUGCCAGCAGCCGCGGUAAUACGGAGGAUCCGAGCGUUAUCCGGAUUUAUUGGGUUUAAAGGGAGCGUAGGUGGACAGUUAAGUCAGUUGUGAAAGUUUGCGGCUCAACCGUAAAAUUGCAGUUGAUACUGGCUGUCUUGAGUACAGUAGAGGUGGGCGGAAUUCGUGGUGUAGCGGUGAAAUGCUUAGAUAUCACGAAGAACUCCGAUUGCGAAGGCAGCUCACUGGACUGCAACUGACACUGAUGCUCGAAAGUGUGGGUAUCAAACAGGAUUAGAUACCCUGGUAGUCCACACAGUAAACGAUGAAUACUCGCUGUUUGCGAUAUACAGUAAGCGGCCAAGCGAAAGCAUUAAGUAUUCCACCUGGGGAGUACGCCGGCAACGGUGAAACUCAAAGGAAUUGACGGGGGCCCGCACAAGCGGAGGAACAUGUGGUUUAAUUCGAUGAUACGCGAGGAACCUUACCCGGGCUUAAAUUGCAUUUGAAUAAUCUGGAAACAGGUUAGCCGCAAGGCAAAUGUGAAGGUGCUGCAUGGUUGUCGUCAGCUCGUGCCGUGAGGUGUCGGCUUAAGUGCCAUAACGAGCGCAACCCUUAUCUUUAGUUACUAACAGGUCAUGCUGAGGACUCUAGAGAGACUGCCGUCGUAAGAUGUGAGGAAGGUGGGGAUGACGUCAAAUCAGCACGGCCCUUACGUCCGGGGCUACACACGUGUUACAAUGGGGGGUACAGAAGGCAGCUACCUGGUGACAGGAUGCUAAUCCCAAAAGCCUCUCUCAGUUCGGAUCGAAGUCUGCAACCCGACUUCGUGAAGCUGGAUUCGCUAGUAAUCGCGCAUCAGCCAUGGCGCGGUGAAUACGUUCCCGGGCCUUGUACACACCGCCCGUCAAGCCAUGAAAGCCGGGGGUACCUGAAGUACGUAACCGCAAGGAGCGUCCUAGGGUAAAACUGGUAAUUGGGGCUAAGUCGUAACAAGGUAGCCGUACCGGAAGGUGCGGCUGGAACACCUCCUUU
Molecule: ribosomal RNA, 1529 nt
Filed under: Bacteroides thetaiotaomicron
Lineage: Bacteria; Pseudomonadati; Bacteroidota; Bacteroidia; Bacteroidales; Bacteroidaceae
Description: bacterial SSU rRNA
Rfam family: Bacterial small subunit ribosomal RNA
Source: RNAcentral